AUAAUUUAUUAAUUGCUAUGCAAAAGAAAAUCUAUGUGGUUGGCACCACUGUCCACAGUAGCAAAAUUCUGCUUCGUAAUUGCUUCUCGGCAGUCCGGUCUAGCGCGUUUUUAUAAACAAACUUCAGUUUUUAAAGUAUAUUUCACAUCUAUGAACCGCGAAACAUAAAGAAAAACGCAUCACAUCAUAACUACCCACAGGAGAAAUGGCGCCUGAAAACUUUUGCCCUUCUGGGGGAAAACUUUUCCAGCAGCGAAAAUCAUUACUUAUCAGAUGUACCAGCCCCGUUAGUGGUUUUAAGAACUCCUGCGACCGCGACACACCUCGUUGGCGUUCCAGAACUCCUGCAAAAUAUUCAUCUUCGGGCAGGACGAUUGGAGCAACUCGAUGCUCAUUUCAUUCCUCUUAUCGGAAACUUAUUAAAUGGCCCCAUUUCCGUUCCAGGAGGAGGAUAGUGUUAUCAGUGUAAAAUUCUAAAUUGUGAAUCACGAAGAGAUCAAUUAAAAUCAUUAUUUUAUAAAUCUUAAA
Uranotaenia lowii is the source of this 528-nucleotide long non-coding RNA. RefSeq lists it as uncharacterized. Lineage: Eukaryota; Metazoa; Arthropoda; Insecta; Diptera; Culicidae. The record is from RefSeq and is a predicted model, not a curated record. The transcript is spliced from 2 exons.